This 329-nucleotide ribosomal RNA is filed under the name uncultured bacterium. Its description in RNAcentral is "bacterial SSU rRNA". It matches the Rfam family "Bacterial small subunit ribosomal RNA", at positions 8 to 334 of the family's 1533-position model. The record is from RNAcentral.
AGGGUUUGAUUAUGGCUCAGGAUGAACGCUGGCGGCGUGCUUAACACAUGCAAGUCGAACGGGAUCGGCUGGAGCUUGCUCCGGCCGUGAGAGUGGCGAACGGGUGAGUAAUGCGUGACCGACCUGCCCCAUACACCGGAAUAGCUCCUGGAAACGGGUGGUAAUGCCGGAUGCUCCAGUUGACCGCAUGGUCCUCUGGGAAAGCUUUUGCGGUAUGGGAUGGGGUCGCGUCCUAUCAGCUUGAUGGCGGGGUAACGGCCCACCAUGGCUUCGACGGGUAGCCGGCCUGAGAGGGCGACCGGCCACAUUGGGACUGAGAUACGGCCCAG